RNAcentral lists this transfer RNA (88 nucleotides) under Spirochaetaceae bacterium. RNAcentral describes it as "tRNA-Ser". It matches the Rfam family "tRNA". From Rfam's summary of the family: Transfer RNA (tRNA) molecules are approximately 80 nucleotides in length. RNAcentral also lists the same sequence under 4 other names. Lineage: Bacteria; Pseudomonadati; Spirochaetota; Spirochaetia; Spirochaetales; Spirochaetaceae. The record is from RNAcentral.
GGAGAGAUGCGAGAGUGGUUGAAUCGGGCGGCCUCGAAAGCCGUUGAGCUGCUUGUCAGCUCCGAGGGUUCGAAUCCCUCUCUCUCCG